ACAACUGGCCUGACCUUCAAAGGCCUUCACAGCUCCUGCCUUCAUGUUACCGUCUACUAUGUUCCUCGUGCACCUUCCACUCAGCACAAACAGGCUGCACUGCCUCCGAAACACAUCACUUGAAUCCUACCUCUGCUCCUUUGUCCAUCUGAAUCACCCUCUCCACAUUUCUGACCGUGUAAUCCUGAUCUCACUUCAUGAGGCAGUUCGCUUCUCUUUUGCAUUUAGCUUUCCCCGGGGUACACUGUCAAUAGCCUACUGUCUGAUGUCAUCAGUCAGCACUUCAUCAGAGGCAAUUAUGUCCACAGAGCUUUUGGCUAAUUACUGUCACUCCUCUUUACAUGUGUGCAUAUGCAUAUCAUCUUUCCCUAAUGAGACUGGAAAUCAUGAUUCAUUCCCUGGAGCAGUGGUUUCCAUAAGUGACCAACCCACAGACCAGUGCAAACUGGCUGCAAAAGAGCUUCCUCUGAGGAACUUAUUAGAAUGCAGAUUCUUUGACUGCAUGGGAGAGGAGGAUCUCAUAAAUCUGGGUGUAAUAGGCACAGAACGUUAGGUGUAAUAUGGGCGGGACUCUGGACUCAGCAUAUCCAACAAGCUGCUGGCUGAUUCCGACGAUGCCGAUGAAUUGCCAGGUUGGGAACUGCUGCCCCCAGAGAACCUAGCAGAGAGCUCUGUACGUGGUAGGUGCUCACUCCCCUAUUGUUUGGGUGUAUGCCUCCUGAUAAUGAACUUGAUCGUAACUUUAUUGUUGUAUUAUGCCUGUAUUGUUUCCUUAAGUGAAGGAAGAAUGCUUUUGAGUACCUAAUAGGUGGCAAGCUCUGUGCCUACUUACAUACAUGAACUAUUCCUUUUAAUAACCUUUGGAAAUAAAGUGGCAUUUCCAUUGGGCAUUAGAAAUCUGAAGACUUUCGUUUACAGCUGUUGCAACAGCAGAACUAGAAUUCGACCUCCGACAUUUCUGCUCACCAGAGGGCAUGAACUGCUGGUUUGUACCUGGCUUGCAGAUACCUUCUUUGGGCAGCACAAUGUUCAAAAUUAAAAAAACUACCAACACUUCUAAACUGGAUACUUUGUAUCAAUAUCUGGGUUUCUGGCUUCUCUUCACGGGAAAAAAACAAACAAACAAAAAGGUUUGGUGAACACUGGGGCCCACAUUCCUGCAGGGCAACAGUCACAUGGAGACUUUAGAUGGGCACGUGCCCAGAACACACUAGAGUCCCCAUCGCUCCCCAUUCUCUUACAUUCUGUUCCCAACUAGGUUCUUAUAGGCCUGGGUUUGUGCCUGUUGCACACUUAUCUACUCUCUUGCUUCCCACUGGUCAGGAAGUCUGGCAAACUUAAAAGGCCUCUUUUUGUUGCUCUCUUCUGUAUGGAUCUCUCAUCAUAGAGGUGUGUGCAUUUCUGACUUUGUGAUUUCAAUACUAAGGAAGCUGUCGGCAGAUUAUCAAGGAAAACGGGGAUCGCUGCUCCCCAACGUACACAUUCUGGUGUGCCCCAGUAAAAUUCUAUAUUCAGCCUCCAAACUAGCUGGGAAAAAUGUGGCAAAUCAUCUACUUGCUCCAAUUCAAUGGUGUUUAGAAGUAGGAAGUCACUGUGAGCAAUGCCACCAAGUGGUGGAGAGACUCCAUGCAGAAUCGCCACCUUCAGCCAGAGAGGCUGGGAGGCCGAAGACCUCUCUCAAUGCACAGGGCCAUUCAGAAACUAGAAACAAAAUGCUUGCUCAUCUCCCUAGGCCACUCCUUCCGAGGCUUUUUGAGACGAGGUCUCACUGUCACCCAGGCCGGAGUGCAGUGGCACAAUCAAGGCUCACUGCAACCUCAACCUUCUGGGUUCAAGCGAUCCUCCCACUUCAGCCUUUCAAGUAGCUGGGAUGACUACAGGCAUGGGCCACCACAGCCAGCUGAUUUUUUUUUUCUUUUUAGUAGAAAUGAGGUCUCGCCAUAUUGCUCAGACUGGUCUUGAACCAACACAUCUUUAGCUUUUUAAAAGACAGCCUUGGCCAGCCAUGGCAGCUCACACUUGUAAUCACUGCACUUUCGGAAGCUGAGGUGGGCAGAUAGCUUGAGCCGAGGAGUUCAAGACCAGCCUGGGCAACAUGGUGAAACCCCAUCUCUACAAAAAAUACAAAAAUUAGCUGGGUGUGAUGGUGCACAUCUGUGGUCCCAGCUACUGGGGAGGCUGAGGUGGGAGGAUUGCUUGAGCCUGGGAGGUCGAGGCUGCAGUGAGCUGUGAUUACCUCACUGCAUUCCAGCCUGGGCAACAGAGAACCCUGUCUCUAUUU
Homo sapiens (human) is the source of this 2281-nucleotide long non-coding RNA. Ensembl annotates it as family with sequence similarity 106 member A. Its record names the gene FAM106A. The record is from Ensembl. Lineage: Eukaryota; Metazoa; Chordata; Mammalia; Primates; Hominidae.